RNAcentral lists this ribosomal RNA (405 nucleotides) under uncultured bacterium. RNAcentral describes it as "partial 16S ribosomal RNA". It matches the Rfam family "Bacterial small subunit ribosomal RNA", at positions 30 to 526 of the family's 1533-position model. The record is from RNAcentral.
AUUGAACGCUAGCGGGAUGCUUUACACAUGCAAGUCGAACGAGUGGCGGACGGGUGGGUAAUAUAUCGGAACGUGCCCAGUAGCGGGGGAUAACUACUCGAAAGAGUGGCUAAUACCGCAUCAUGUUGGGGCGGCCGAUAUCGGAUUAGCUAGGUGGUGGGGUAAAGGCUAACCAAGGCAACGAUCCGUAGCUGGUUUGAGGGGACGAGCAGCCACACGGGGAUGGAGACACGGCCCAGACUCCUACGGUAGGCAGCAGUGGGGAAUGUUGGACAAUGGGGGAAACCCUGAUCCAGCCAUCCCGCGUGUAUGAGAAGGCCUUCGGGUUGUAAAGUACUUUUGGCAGAGAAGCGGUAUCUGCAGAAUAAGCACCGGCUAACUACGUGCCAGCAGCCGCGGUAAUAC